AGAGUUUGAUCCUGGCUCAGGACGAACGCUGGCGGCAGGCUUAACACAUGCAAGUCGAACGAACCCUUCGGGGUGAGUGGCAGACGGGUGCGUAACACGUGGGAACCUACCCUAAGGUACGGAAUAACAUCGAGAAAUCGUUGCUAAUACCGUAUGUGCCCUUCGGGGGAAAGAUUUAUCGCCUUAGGAUGGGCCCGCGGCUGAUUAGGUAGUUGGUGGGGUAAAAGCCUACCAAGCCGACGAUCAGUAGCUGGUCUGAGAGGAUGAUCAGCCACACUGGGACUGAGACACGGCCCAGACUCCUACGGGAGGCAGCAGUGGGGAAUAUUGGGCAAUGGGCGCAAGCCUGACCCAGCCAUGCCGCGUGAGUGAUGAAGGCCUUAGGGUUGUAAAACUCUUUCGCCGGUGAAGAUAAUGACGGUAACCGGUAAAGAGGCCCCGGCUAAUUUCGUGCCAGCAGCCGCGGUAAUACGAAAGGGGCUAGCGUUGUUCGGAAUUACUGGGCGUAAAGCGCGCGUAGGCGGGCUAUCAAGUUGGGGGUGAAAUCCCGGGGCUCAAUCCCGGAACUGCCUCCAAAACUGGUAGCCUAGAGGAUGUGAGAGGAUAGUGGAAUUCCGAGUGUAGAGGUGAAAUUCGUAGAUAUUCGGAAGAACACCAGUGGCGAAGGCGACUGUCUGGCACAUUUCUGACGCUGA
Molecule: ribosomal RNA, 695 nt
Filed under: uncultured bacterium
Lineage: Bacteria
Description: bacterial SSU rRNA
Rfam family: Bacterial small subunit ribosomal RNA
Source: RNAcentral